This is a non-coding RNA of Acanthosepion pharaonis, 115 nucleotides long. The record is from the annotation of a GenBank genome assembly. NCBI's taxonomy places the organism in Eukaryota, Metazoa, Mollusca, Cephalopoda, Sepiida, Sepiidae.
UUACGGCCACAGCGCGUUGAAACACCGGGUCCCGUACGAUCACCGAAAUUAAGCAACGUCGAGCCUGGUCAAGUACCGAGAUGGGUGACUGCUUGGGAAUAUCACGUGUUGUAAG